GCCCUUAGAGUUUGAUCCUGGCUCAGAACGAACGCUGGCGGCGUGCUUAACACAUGCAAGUCCAACGUGAAAGGGGAGCAAUCCCCCGGUAGGGUGGCGAACGGGUGAGUAAGACAUGGGAAUCUGCCCUGGAGAUGGGGAUAUCCCUCCGAAAGGGGGGUUAAUACCGAAUACCGUCCGGGAUCCGAAGGGAUUUCGGGGAAAGGGAGGCCUCUGGCAACACGCUUCCGCUCCGGGAGGAGCCCAUGGCCCAUCAGCUAGUUGGCAGGGUAAUGGCCUACCAAGGCGAAGACGGGUAGCUGGUCUGAGAGGACGAUCAGCCACACUGGCACUGAGACACGGGCCAGACUCCUACGGGAGGCAGCAGUGAGGAAUUUUGCGCAAUGGGGGCAACCCUGACGCAGCAACGCCGCGUGUGGGAAGAAGGCUUUCGGGUUGUAAACCACUUUUGUGGAGGACGAAACCCCGGGGACGAACACGCCCUGGGGGUGACGGUACUUCACGAAUAAGCCACGGCUAACUCUGUGCCAGCAGCCGCGGUAAGACAGGGGUGGCAAGCGUUGUUCGGAGUGACUGGGCGUAAAGGGUCUGUAGGUGGUUUGUCAAGUCUUUGGUAAAAAGCCGUGGCUCAACCAUGGUGCGGCCAAGGAGACUGGGAGACUGGAGGCUGGGAGAGGGAAGCGGAAUUUCUGGUGUAGCGGUGAAAUGCGUAGAGAUCAGAAAGAAAGCCGGUGGCGAAAGCGGCUUCCUGGGAACAGACCUGACACUGAGAGACGAAAGCGUGGGGAGCAAACAGGAUUAGAUACCCUGGUAGUCCACGCCCUAAACGAUGGGAACUAAGUGUGGGGAGCAAUCCCCGUGCCGCAGCUAACGCAAUAAGUUCCCCGCCUGGGGAGUACGGCCGCAAGGUUGAAACUCAAAUGAAUUGACGGGGAAGGGC
Molecule: ribosomal RNA, 940 nt
Filed under: uncultured bacterium
Lineage: Bacteria
Description: bacterial SSU rRNA
Rfam family: Bacterial small subunit ribosomal RNA
Source: RNAcentral